Microcebus murinus (gray mouse lemur) is the source of this 8932-nucleotide non-coding RNA. The record is from RefSeq and is a predicted model, not a curated record. NCBI's taxonomy places the organism in Eukaryota, Metazoa, Chordata, Mammalia, Primates, Cheirogaleidae.
GCGUCCCUGCUGAGGAAGAGGCCCAGAUGCCGGCAUGGCCUUCAGAACCUGCCUCUGCCAGGCCUCACCCCUCUGCUCUGGGAAUGCCCUUUGACCCUGCUGAAAAGCUUAAGCUUUGUAAACAGAGUCAUCUGGCGUUUACCUCUCGUGCACCCACCAUGGCCAGCUGUUUGUUUGGGGGCUCUGUUGAUCCAGCUCAGGCUCAGAACUCUCAGCCCCAACAAGCUAUUUCCUGCCGGUCACCAGCUGACUGCUGGAGCCUUCAUUCCAGCUCCUUGUUUAUUGUGAACUGUGUUUGCGCAAUGCUGCUCUGCCCACGUUUGUCAGCUUUGCAUUUGUGUCCUUGGUGUGGAUGCUUCUCCCCCCUCCAGAACUCGGAGUGCCCUGAGAGCAAGAGCCAUUUCUUCCCAAAUCAGACCAAAGAGCCUGCAUGCUUCACCUCUGAGGGUGAGGACCAAGUCUCCUUCCUUUGAUCUCUCUAGGACAAAGAGGACAAAAGGUAUUCAGACCAUGAGGUCAAGUGAUUGAUUUAUGACCCAUACAUAAGUGGCAGUGAGUCAUAGGUCCAUCCCCAUAAGUUCAGUCUCCACAGCACCCAUUCUCCCAUUCUUCCAUUCUUCCUCCCCACUCUCUGGCUUCAGUGAGCCCCACAGAACCCCUUGCCAGGAAGGGCCAUGUGGGGUUGCCAAGAGGUAGGUUGCACAGUGGGUAGGCAGGUCCCCUCCCUUUGGAGGGGGUUGUCCUCAUUAAAGGUAAGGCACUGAUGGUGACACCUAUCCAUGCUCCCAAUGGGUAAGCUGUGUGUCCGCAGUAGUCAACUGCUCCUUAGGUGCUGGCCGGGACUGGUUCAAUGCUUCAUUCAAAGAUCAGUGAGAGAUCCAGUGCUCUUCCUCAAAACAUUCCCAAUUCCCCUGAGAGUGGGAAUGGAGGGUGGGGAGACUUCCCUUCUCAUCAGUGCUUUGAGAUCCUAUUUUUCUCAGGUCAUCUCAGUUUAGGAAUGGUCUUGCUGACCCCAUGAGUGCUCUCACUGCUGUGAGCUGUGGAUCUCCCCCCUCUGCCUUAUUCCUACAUGUGAACUCCUCACAAGGUCUGUACAUACAUCAUGGGCUUUACUGAAGGGUGAGGUCUUCAGAGGGUGUUGUUAAUACAGCAAAAAUGUAAACAGCUUAAAAAUGGAGUGUUGGGCAUUUCUGUUCUUAAAACUUCCUUUGGCUUCCUCUCUAACACUGGCUCCGGCCCCUCCCCACACCACUUUAAUGUUACUCAAGCUCUUAGCUGUCUCUUCUACCACUUCCCCUCUUUUUUGCUCUUCUCCUGGGAGAAAAAAUACAGAUUCCUCCUGCUUCCUUCUACAGAGUAAUUCAGCUCUUUCUAACCCUGGCCCACACCUCUGAGCAUCUCUAAGAGUUCAAUAAGAUGGUCCAAAGCCUCUGCAUGGGCUCCUUCCUCUGAACCUCAGGGAUUAACAGCUUGACCUCCCUGGACCUGAACCCACAGUGCAGUACAGAAAUACCUUGGACCCAGAGCCUGGAGGCCAGAGGGCACCUGGCCACUCCUUCUCACUGAAGAUCUUGCCCCUGCGAGGCUCACAGUCCUUCUCUCUACCCCAAAUUCCUGCCACCACUACCUGAGAAAACACUAGUAUCUAUGUGAGCAGCUGAAUUCAUUCUGCCACUAGGCCCUCAGUCCCCUGGCUCCACAUCCCCAAGGGGCCAUCUCCAACCUCUAGCACUGAGCCCCCAGGUGGAUGCUCUGAAUACUGAUACCAGCUCCUCCAGAGUCUGGCUCCCAGGAGUACCCAUAAAUAUUCUUUGAGUAAGCAAAUAAAUGAAUGAAGCCAAUGUUGCAAGAUUGGAGUGUGGCAUAAUGGGAAGGGCACGAGACUGGGUGGGAGAUCCAGCUUCUAGUCCUAGCCCUGCCACUAAGUAGCUGUGUGAUUUUGAGCAUCUUUUCACAUCUCAUGGCCUCCUUCUCUUCAUCUGAAAAAUUAAAAUUUUUGCACAGAUGAUUUCUGAAAACCCAACUUCUGACAGUUGACAAUUGUAAGAGCUAUGACUUGUCAAACAUCUCUAAUAUUUAGACUGUGCUAGGUGCUUUGCAUAUCCUACCUCUAAUCUACCCAAAAACUUAUUGUCCACAUUUUAAAAAUGAGGAAAUUGAGGCUAAGAGAGAUUAAAGAUUUGCCCUUUUAUAAAGAAACUAGAUGGGGCUGGGUGCGGUGGCUCAUACCUAUAUAAUCCUGGCCCUUUGGGAGCCUGAGAUGGGAGGAUUGCUUGUGACCAGGAAUUUGAGGCCAGCCUGGGCAACAUAGCAGGACCCCAUCUCUAUAAACAAAAAGAAAGAAAGAAAGAAAUGAGGUAGAAGAUUCAGGAUUAGAAUCCAGGUUGGUCAAUUUAAAAACAAGUAUGUCUAAAUGAGUCUCAUAUCUUAAAAUCAAAGAAAUCUCAUGUUUAGAGGGUCUACUUUUUGCUCUUCUAAAAUAGGCCUCUGGUUAUUAAAGGUCUUUCUGAGGUGGCAGGGAACUGCCUUCAGAAAUCUGGCUGGAAGUAAAGGCCUUGCAUGCCCCACCUGUUGCAUGGGCCUGCCCCCCGCCCGGACACUCAGUUCAGACAUCAGUUGUACGUCAGGUGCUGCAGCAAGGGAGGGUGGAAGGGGGAUCAUUGCGGGGAUAAGACAGGAUAGAGCAGCUCACGGUGUCUGGCAGAUACAUUGGGUAACUGUGGGCUUGGUGCUCUAAGAGUGGCUCUAAGACAGGGUGUGCUGAGUGGCCACUUCAUCAGAAUGGCGUAGGUUCUCGUUACAAAUGCAUAUACCUGGAUACAAAUGCAUAUACCACCUCGAACUACUGAAUCGGAAUCUCAGGGAGCAUCCGCUUGAUGUGAAUUUUCAUCAAACUCCCCAGGAGACUGGAAUUACUGUCCCAAGAAUCCCUGGGGUAUGUAGGGACUUGAGGGUCAGAGAAGAGAUUUUUAAUUAGUGUCAUGGGUAGUGGGAAGCCAUUAAAGCAGCAUUUAAAGCAGAAAAAGAAGGGCAAUGCUAUUGGAAGAAAAAGAAAUCAGAACCAAGAAGAAGGGAGAAAAGUAUCUUGAUUUGUUACAUGUUGAGACUGAAAUACCAGGAAAAUAUUUCAAAGAUGUCCAGUUCUCAAUUGGGGGGGGGAGUUGAGAGCUCAGUAAUAAAUGUGGGAUUAGAGAUGAAGGUUUGAGAUUUAUUCUUUAUCAGGAGGUGCAAAUUCAAAUACCUCCAGGAUCAAGGCAAGUGAGGAUUGAGUGUAAUAAAAAAAAAAAAACCCAGCACACAUCCAUAAUAAAUGGCAAUUACCACUUGGCCUCAGCAGGGAUGCGAUAGAGAAUGGUGGAGAAUGUGGUGAACUGGAGGACAUACUUACUCCCUGUCUUAGGGACCAGUCGUUGCCAAACAGGAGUGUGGGACCAGUGUUAACAGAUAUUCUGGUUUUUAAAGAGAAAUCAUAAUUCCAGAUAUUUUUUUAUUUUAACAUUUCCUAAAAGUUAAAUGUUGACAACUAAUUUUUAAAAUGCUUAAAUACUAUGCAGGCCAAACAAUAUAUAUCUAUGGUCAGCUCUGCCUUGCAGGCUUCCAAAUUGUGACUUUUGAGUUACACGGAUGGGAUUCAGGAGAGAGGGUUCAGCAAAUUGAGAAGAAACCCAGAGGCUGCACUGUUGGGAACCACGGUCCUCCUCUAUUUGGGAGCUUACCUGUGGGUGAGCCCAGGGCACAGAGAGGUCCUGAGUUUUUGGCCACUGAGUGUCUGGUGGGCUCCCAUGUUGGUGGCAACAAGUAAAGCCUGCACCUGUCAUAGCUAUUUCUGCUCAUCACCUGAAAAUCAUGUGGGUAGCCACUGUGGUCCUGAUACUUUUCAGGUUAGAUGCCAUCUUGAGCCUGCAGCUACACCCUGCCACCCUCUCUGGCUAUUUUCGUCCCCUACUAUGAAGAUGCCUUGUCUCUUGGAGUAUCUGAGUCCUGGCUGGAGCAGGCAUCCUGUUUAACACAUCCUUGAUGCACACUUUUAUAUCAGGAAGUUUUGUUGCCUAAUUUAAAUGCUUUUUGUAUAACUGAAUCUUCUUUUGCUUCUUCUAUCUUCAGAGCAAAUGGUGAAAUGGGUUACUUUUUAGCUUUCAGACUCUCCUCCAGCCCUCAAUAGUUUCUGAAAAAGGGUCCUCGGGGACUUAAAAAUUGUUGUGACCUACAGAUUAGAAAGCCCUUUGCUUAUUUAUAUUUUACCAAGACUUCCUUUAGUCUCAAUGGGUAGUCUUCCUCUUACCCUCAACCCUAAUCAUCUUUGUACUGUCUAUUUCUGUCCCUGCUGUCAGUUCACUUUGGGGUGGGGGGAAGGGGGUAAAAACAGAAACUUUUUAAAAUAGCUAACAUCCUCACUUUCCUGCAGUCCUUUUUAGCAGGUUUUAUAGACAAUGUUGUUUUUUUCUGUUCUUGAUUUUUCUUUCUGAUUCUAAAAAAUAACUUCCAGACUGGCUGGUCUAGAGCUGACCUUGAAAGGCACAACUUUGUGAGAAGAUAACAGGGAACCCUAAAAGUUGUCCUGGACAUUACCCAAUGAUGCCUGCAAAGAGUUAUGAAUAUAUUUAGCAGUAUUUCCACCCUGAUUAGGAAAUGAGGAAGAGGCAUGAUGGUCCUCCCUCCCUGGGUGAUGUUUCUUAUCAACUCUGGGCAGCACAGCAAAGUUUUCACCAAUGAGGUCUGUAAAGAGGAAAGAUCAAAUUAGCGUCUGCACCAGCCACACUCAGACAUGCCCCGCCAAAAUGUACAUCUGACUAAAACUCCCACAUUUCACAAAAUGAUCUUCUUUAACAGAUACCAUUAGAAGUGCCUACUGACAUCUGCUAACACAUAUGUGUAUUCCCUCCUAUCCACGAGCAUCAGAGAACACACACACAUUUAAGUACAUAUGCUCACUCAGCUAUGCAUACUGCCUUCCCUGCACACACACACACACACAGAAAAUCCACACCGUGUAGCAUAUGAGUGAACUGAUGGCAUCCUCCUAGAAUAUCUCCACCCAGCCUCUGCCUGCAAAUCAGCUUCACUCAACCUCAGGUUUCUACUUGUGGUCAGAAAUUUGAGAGGCAACCAAGCCCAGUCCCCUCAGGCCCAGCAGGGCACUGGGAAAGAUAGAAAUCACAUACAAUGACCUGGUUGCUCCUGGAUGGAAAGUGGAGAGCAAAGCCUGCGGCUAACCCCACAGACAGGGACAGCGCAGAGGCCUGAGGAGAGAGACCCAGUUCUGGGUGGGCGUCUGGUCUGAGGACAGCAGUUUGGAAUGCUGCGGGCCACUCUUGAGUGGGUCACAUGGGUGGGCCAUGCAAGUGGGUGAGAUGGGCAACCAGCACCAGAAGAACCAGUGAGUCUGGGUUACACAGCACACAAUUUUCUGGCUCACAUGAGACAUAAGCUGAAGUUCACCCUCACUUCCUGCACCACCAUGCCCCCUCUGCAGCGGGAGGAGUCCCAGGUCAGCAGAGUGCAACAGCAUUUAAAGUUCAAAACUCAACUCAAGGCCCUCAGGGUGAGGGUGGAAGGAGAAAGGGAAAAGUGAGGAGAAAGAGGAAUGUCAGGAAGGGGAGGAAGAGGAGCAGAAAGAAGAGGUGGAGAGGGAGAGAUGGACCCUCUCACCUUAUCCUGAUGUUCAAACUACACCUUGGUUAUACCAAGGAAAGUGUGGAGGGGCAGGGAGGGGCAAAGUGCAAAGGGCAAUGUGGAAAGGAAAAAAGAAGGAGUGAAAUCUUGACUUUGAGUUUCUAAGGAUCCUGGUUCUAGCAAUUUAAGGGCAGUUUCAGGAAAUAUCAAAAUAACUGAGACUACUAUAAUGUAUUUGGCUUUAUAAGAAAUUGAUUUGAGAACCUAAAUCCUGGGCUGGGUACAAUGACACUAUAUAUUGAUGCGAGAACUUUGAAUGUGGGAUAAAUUAAGCUUCCUCUCCCUAGACUUGUGUGUAGAAAGAAAUGGGGAUGAGAAAGUAGGAAACUGCCUUCUGGUUCUAUGGAUCAUCUCCGUGCUAAACAAAGUUCACAAACUAAUCACCAGUUUUUGCUCAACUUCAGGUUUCUACUUGUGGUCAGAAAUUUGAGAGGCAACUAAGCCAAGUCCCCUCGGGCCCAACCAGGUGAGGCUGACACACCUUGAGCAAUGGAGACAAGGGGUUACAGCCUCCUUGCUCCUGUCCCAUCCAGUGCAUUGUCAUCAUCUGUAAUGGCAGCUUGUUGGGAUGUGGGCCGUGGCAACAGUGGCACAAGGGCUCCGCGGUCUCAUGAAAAAGGCACCAUAUUUGAAGUCUGCAAAUUUGUUCCCAAUCCUGGCUCUACUGGGAACUCACUGUGUGGUCUGGUGGAUGACAUAAAAACUACAUAAGGACAGAUUUCUAAGGCAAACAAACAGGUGAUGGUCUGUCAAAAGACUUUUUUCAUCAAUUCUGGUUACAGGAGAUGUAAGGCCCAGAACACCACACCCCUGUCAAAGACACACUAACAAAGACAUGGUAAGUGUUUUCAGAUUUAGGUGCUGAAUGGCCCCUUUAUAGCUCUCUAUUCCUUGACCUAUUUCACUGACUUCCUUGGUGGCUGAUCUUGGUCAUUUCCGGCCUUGCCGACACCUGGUCUCUUUGGUUUGAUGCAUCUCUGGAUUAUCUUGUUUCCAGUGUCAACCCUGUUUCCUGUAACAAAAAUUUUUUCUCCUAAAUGAGCAGAGAUAAUAGUCUCAUCUGGCCUGAUCCAGCUUCUGGGGCGGAACUGGUGAAGUGGCCAUAGAAGAGAUGUGUUUAAUGCCAAAAUAUCAGAAUUCCAUGGCAUUUUGAGUAGUUAUAUGAAACAGUAGAGCAGAAUAUUUGAAAUCUGAAUUGUCCUGGAAAUGUGGGACAUAUGAACAUAGUAGCCAGUUUUCAAGUAACUCACAAACUGUUGUUGAAAUGUCAACCUCUAAAAAGAUCAUAACAACACCACACAAUAGAUUAUGAAUGCCCAAUGAAUGGUAUGGAUGACAUUAAUUCAACAUUGAGAGAAUGGUUGGUGUAGGUCCCUAAGGUGGAAUACCAAGCUUAAGCUGUGCCUUUGGGACUGCAGGGGGUUGAGAGAAGUGUGAAGGAGGUGGUGAGCUACCCAGGAGAUAAGACCAUGAGCCAUGGACAUGCAUGAAACGGGGACUAUGUUACAGAGCACAGAUAGAGAUCAUAGGCAAAAUGUUGAGACGUAUGGGCUGCAGAGCUACUGUGAUACUUAGAGGACACUGAGGAGAGUGACCCUGGAGCACAGAGUCAGAAACCUAAAAAAGUAGGUGGGGCUAAAUUAUGAAGGUCUUAACUAUUAGGCAAAAAAAAAAAAAAAAAUCCAAACUUAAUCUAAUGGACAAAGAGGGAAGGAGAUGUUUCAGAAUGAUCUGAGCAAGAGAAGAGCAAGUGAAUACAGUCCUUUAGGAAGGCAACUCUACUAACAAUGGGAAAGGUAGAUGGUUUGGGCAUGGAAUUGGACAGAGUCCACUGCAAUUAUCCAGAUAUGAAGAAGCAACGGGUUUGGGGAACUGGGUCUGAGGAGCAAAUUACUAGGAGAGGCUAAAGAGUUUUCUGGGUGGAAUGACUGAGGAAAUGAUGGUGUCUCUUGACAGAAAAUGGAGAUCAGGAAGGGAGCCAGCUUUGGAGAAGACAUGGGCUUAGGCUGACAUUGAGGUGGUGGCUGGACAUCCGAGGGAAGGGACAGAGCAGGUGGGAAGAGGAGCAGGAUGGAAGGACAUGAGGACAGACUAUGCAGAUAAGAAAAUCCAUUGUAAAAAAGUAAACGUCAAAACGGACUACAUGAACAGGAUCUCUCUGAAGAAAGGAAGUGGAAAGAAAAAGGAAGAGGACUGAGGGGACGCAGUGUGGAGAAUGAGGGGUGUGUGGGAGGAGGGCGGGGGUGACACAGGAAGGGAUCCAGGGCUGGCACAACUAGGAAAGCGGGCAGAGAAGCCUGGGACACAGUAUCGAGGACAAGGACAGGGAGACUGCUUCCAGAAGGUGGUCAGAGGGCCCAGAGUUCAAGGAAAAUAGGAAUUUACGGAGGCCACUGGGUUUGAAUCGUUUAACAAAUACAGGGCAUCAAUGUGUGCCAGGCCCUGUGCUGGGCUGUGGGGUGCUGGUGACAUCGACCAAGCGCCUGCGAUGGUGCCAGCCCCUGAGUGUAGCAGGGGGAGACCGAGGCUGGAUUUCCCCCCUGAUGAGCCAUACUUACAAAAGCUUCAGUCCACACACAGCGAGGAAGGAAGAGGGCUGGGGGAAGGAGGAAAGGAGGAGGGGUGAGUGGGAAAAUAUGUGCAGUUGAGAGCCGACCACUGCUUCAAAAAAUUUGGCACUUAAAGGAAAGUGAGAACUAGAAAAGUAACUUGAGGGGACAGAAAAGUCUUACCAACACUCCCCCCAACCCCGCCAACUAGGUGAGACUUGUAUGUGUCUAAGCAAGAGAAAAGGCAUUGCUGUAGAGGAAGAGCGCAGCUUGUUGAGGGAGGUGGAAUUCCUAUUAACAUUAUGGAAAUAAACAGAAGACUUAGUCCCCAUUUCCAAAGAGCCAAGAGAAAUUCAUUCUGACUAGUUAAGAAACCUGGCAAAGGAGUAAAAUGGUGACGAAGCGUCCCGGCUAGUGGUUCUGACAGUGUGCGGCUGAAAAACGCAGUGGGAGUCAGAAAAGGGGAAGGCUUGGGAGAGGUGGUAUCCGCGAAGGCUUCUCGGAGGCGGCGGCCUCUAACCCGAACCUUAAGGAUGGGCGGAGAAGCGAGGGGCACGCCGGGCGAGGAACACGCGGGACCGACUCCCGGUCCCUCCGCCGCGCGCUCUCGGUCCGCCCCCCGGCCGGGGAGCCCCGCGCAGGUUCCCAGCACUGACGUCAGCGUGCAGUGACCUCAGCGCCGAGGAGGCGGGGGCGGCCGCGGCCGGGGA